UACGUAGGGGGCAAGCGUUGUCCGGAUUUAUUGGGCGUAAAGAGCGUGUAGGCGGCUUUGCAAGUCCGUUGUGAAAACUCGAGGCUCAACCUCGAGACGCCGGUGGAAACUGCAAAGCUAGAGUCCGGAAGAGGAGAGUGGAAUUCCUGGUGUAGCGGUGAAAUGCGCAGAUAUCAGGAGGAACACCGGUGGCGAAGGCGGUUCUCUGGGCAUUACCUGACGCUGAGGAGCGAAAGUGUGGGGAGCGAACAGG
RNAcentral lists this ribosomal RNA (253 nucleotides) under uncultured bacterium. RNAcentral's name for it is "partial 16S ribosomal RNA". It matches the Rfam family "Bacterial small subunit ribosomal RNA", at positions 524 to 776 of the family's 1533-position model. The record is from RNAcentral.